Molecule: ribosomal RNA, 428 nt
Filed under: uncultured bacterium
Lineage: Bacteria
Description: partial 16S ribosomal RNA
Rfam family: Bacterial small subunit ribosomal RNA
Source: RNAcentral
GUGGGGAAUAUUGGGCAAUGGGCGAAAGCCUGACCCAGCAACGCCGCGUGAGGGAAGAAGGCCUUCGGGUUGUAAACCUCUGUCCUUGGUGACGAAGAAAGUGACGGUAGCCAAGGAGGAAGCCCCGGCUAACUACGUGCCAGCAGCCGCGGUAAUACGUAGGGGGCGCGCGUUGUCCGGAAUUACUGGGCGUAAAGGGUGCGUAGGUGGCCUUUUAAGUUGGAUGUGAAAUACCCGGGCUUAACUUGGGGGGUGCAUCUAAUACUGGGAGGCUAGAGUGCAGGGGAGGGAAGCGGAAUUCCUAGUGUAGCGGUGAAAUGCGUAGAUAUUAGGAGGCACACCAGUGGCGAAGGCGCCUUUCUGGACUGUGUCUGACGCUGAGAUGCGAAAGCCAGGGUAGCAAACGGGAUUAGAUACCCUAGUAGUCC